This 577-nucleotide ribosomal RNA is filed under the name uncultured bacterium. RNAcentral describes it as "bacterial SSU rRNA". It matches the Rfam family "Bacterial small subunit ribosomal RNA", at positions 338 to 916 of the family's 1533-position model. The record is from RNAcentral.
CCUACGGGAGGCAGCAGUAAGGAAUAUUGGUCAAUGGGCGGAAGCCUGAACCAGCCAUGCCGCGUGCAGGAAGACGGCCCUACGGGUUGUAAACUGCUUUUGUACGGGAAUAAACCUUGAUUCGUGAAUCAAGCUGAAUGUACUGUAAGAAUAAGGAUCGGCUAACUCCGUGCCAGCAGCCGCGGUAAUACGGAGGAUCCAAGCGUUAUCCGGAUUUAUUGGGUUUAAAGGGUGCGUAGGUGGCUUAUUAAGUCAGGGGUGAAAGACGGUAGCUUAACUAUCGCAGUGCCUUUGAUACUGAUGAGCUUGAAUGAACUAGAGGUAGGCGGAAUGUGACAAGUAGCGGUGAAAUGCAUAGAUAUGUCACAGAACACCAAUUGCGAAGGCAGCUUACUAUGGUUAGACUGACACUGAGGCACGAAAGCGUGGGGAUCAAACAGGAUUAGAUACCCUGGUAGUCCACGCCCUAAACGAUGAAUACUCGAUGUUGGCGAUAUACGGUCAGCGUCUAAGCGAAAGCGUUAAGUAUUCCACCUGGGGAGUACGCCGCAAGGGUGAAACGUUAAUGAAUUGACGG